CAUCCAUGGGUAUAUUAUCACAGUCACCGCUAUCAGCAGAGUGUGUAUGGAUGCAUGCAUAUCAUGCUCCCGUGCCGUUUAUGAAUAUACGCCCGACUAUCGAGAAGCAUGCAUUUGGUCGUGGCAUCUUCUUAACGAGCUCAUAUAGGCCCUGAUCUCGGACAGGAGGAUUAUUAGAUACCGUGUUAUUGGUGUAUUAGUACAGAUUGAUGUGUGCAGGUGUAUUUGAAGGGCUUCGAUCUCCUUGUUUUGAAAUAUCAGUGUUUUGGUAAAGUGUGAUAUUACAAGGGUGAUAAUUGCUCAGUGUCACAUGACCAGCCACACCCUGUGCUGAGACGAACCAGUGGAGGGCAUUGACUGCAUCACCUUGAGAAUCUGCCUUCUCUUGUCUGUUACCACGGCAACUGUUUCAAGGAGGGUAACUUAUCGGAACAAGCUGCGGAAAAUCAACUUGUGGCUAAAUCUUUUACUGCAACUUGACUGUUGAUGCUAAACCUUGAGUAGUGGUGUUUCAACUUCCUGUAUUAUCGUCACCAUUGCUACAGUCACGGCCACAGUGAGGAUGGGGGAGUUUGCAGGGGGUAAUUCCGUGGAUAGGUGGACCUGUCCUAAUGAUAGACAGCUGGCUCUCAGAGCAAAACUUGGAACAGGCUGGUCCUUUCAUACAAAUUCUGC
This is a long non-coding RNA of Lytechinus variegatus (green sea urchin), 675 nucleotides long. RefSeq lists it as uncharacterized. The record is from RefSeq and is a predicted model, not a curated record. NCBI's taxonomy places the organism in Eukaryota, Metazoa, Echinodermata, Echinoidea, Temnopleuroida, Toxopneustidae. The transcript is spliced from 3 exons.